RNAcentral lists this unclassified non-coding RNA (573 nucleotides) under Disparago ericoides. RNAcentral's name for it is "partial external transcribed spacer". The record is from RNAcentral. Lineage: Eukaryota; Viridiplantae; Streptophyta; Magnoliopsida; Asterales; Asteraceae.
UCACCAAACGAGUGGGGAAUUUGUUUUGGUUAAUCCAAAUCAAACGAACCGCGACAACGUCAUUUAUGACGGGGGUUCGACGAAGUCGGCCCAUGACCCGAUGAUUUGUCCCUUGAAACAAUGUUAGAUCUCUUGUGUUGUUGCUCAAUGAUCUUCGUCAAAUGAUGUGGGGAUGUCUAGUUGCUUGUAGAUCGUAGUUUCAAGCUUNGAUCUUAGUUUUAAGCUUAACUGGUCUUUUCACUAGGCCCGCACGAAAGGUUUGAUUGUAUGGCAUGUUCUUGUUUGAUUGUUGCCUUAUGAUUGGAUCGUUAGUGUAACUGCUGACAUGAUGUGGCUUGUUAAUCUUAAAACUUGGGAUGGCGACUAAGCAUUGUUGCGUCAGUUGAUGAGUUUUGUUGAACGGGAAGGCAAGAGUUUGAAUUUUGUUGUGUUGUUGAUGACAUUUGUCCCUCAAUGUGGUGGUGUCAAGUUGCUUCACGCUUGGUGACUAGGCAUUGCCUUGUUGGUCGAUGGAGGUCGUCCGAUGAAGUGUUGGCUACAAUAAUUUGUUCUCGCAUCGUUCGGUGCAUUCCG